This 639-nucleotide ribosomal RNA is filed under the name uncultured bacterium. RNAcentral's name for it is "bacterial SSU rRNA". It matches the Rfam family "Bacterial small subunit ribosomal RNA", at positions 75 to 730 of the family's 1533-position model. The record is from RNAcentral.
AAAGCUUGCUUUGAUGAUGGCGACCGGCGCACGGGUGAGUAACACGUAUCCACCUGCCGACAACACUGGGAUAGCCUUUCGAAAGAAAGAUUAAUACCGGAUGGUCCCGCAUGGGUAAAGAAUUUCGGUUGUCGAUGGGGAUGCGUUCCAUUAGGCAGUUGGCGGGGUAACGGCCCACCAAACCUACGAUGGAUAGGGGUUCUGAGAGGAAGGUCCCCCACAUUGGAACUGAGACACGGUCCAAACUCUACGGGAGGCAGCAGUGAGGAAUAUUGGUCAAUGGACGAGAGUCUGAACCAGCCAAGUAGCGUGAAGGAUGACUGCCUAUGGGUUGUAAACUUCUUUUAUACGGGAAUAAGUGAGCCACGUGUGGCUUUUUGUAUGUACCGUAUGAAUAAGGAUCGGCUAACUCCGUGCCAGCAGCCGCGGUAAUACGGAGGAUCCGAGCGUUAUCCGGAUUUAUUGGGUUUAAAGGGAGCGUAGGCGGGUUGUUAAGUCAGUUGUGAAAGUUUGCGGCUCAACCGUAAAAUUGCAGUUGAUACUGGCGACCUUGAGUGCAACAGAGGUAGGCGGAAUUCGUGGUGUAGCGGUGAAAUGCUUAGAUAUCACGAAGAACUCCGAUUGCGAAGGCAGCUUACU